This 406-nucleotide ribosomal RNA is filed under the name uncultured bacterium. Its description in RNAcentral is "bacterial SSU rRNA". It matches the Rfam family "Bacterial small subunit ribosomal RNA", at positions 354 to 776 of the family's 1533-position model. The record is from RNAcentral.
GUGGGGAAUAUUGGACAAUGGGGGGAACCCUGAUCCAGCGACGCCGCGUGAGUGAAGAAGUAUUUCGGUAUGUAAAGCUCUAUCAGCAGGGAAGAAGAAAGACGGUACCUGACUAAGAAGCCCCGGCUAACUACGUGCCAGCAGCCGCGGUAAUACGUAGGGGGCAAGCGUUAUCCGGAUUUACUGGGUGUAAAGGGAGCGUAGACGGUAGUGCAAGUCUGAAGUGAAAGGCGGGGGCCCAACCCCCGGACUGCUUUGGAAACUGUGCAGCUGGAGUGCAGGAGAGGUAAGUGGAAUUCCUAGUGUAGCGGUGAAAUGCGUAGAUAUUAGGAGGAACACCAGUGGCGAAGGCGGCUUACUGGACUGUAACUGACGUUGAGGCUCGAAAGCGUGGGGAGCAAACAGG